RNAcentral lists this ribosomal RNA (305 nucleotides) under uncultured bacterium. RNAcentral's name for it is "bacterial SSU rRNA". It matches the Rfam family "Bacterial small subunit ribosomal RNA", at positions 332 to 652 of the family's 1533-position model. The record is from RNAcentral.
CGCUGCCUACGGGGCGCAGCAGUGGGGAAUAUUGGGCAAUGGGCGCAAGCCUGACCCAGCAACGCCGCGUGAAGGAAGAAGGCUUUCGGGUUGUAAACUUCUUUUAUGAGGGACGAAACAAAUGACGGUACCUCAUGAAUAAGCCGCGGCUAACUACGUGCCAGCAGCCGCGGUAAUACGUAGGUGGCAAGCGUUAUCCGGAUUUACUGGGUGUAAAGGGCGUGUAGGCGGGACUGCAAGUCAGAUGUGAAAAUUAUUGGCUCAACCCAUAACCUGCAUUUGAAACUGUAGUUCUUGAGUGAUGG